RNAcentral lists this ribosomal RNA (200 nucleotides) under uncultured eukaryote. RNAcentral describes it as "partial 18S ribosomal RNA". It matches the Rfam family "Eukaryotic small subunit ribosomal RNA", at positions 587 to 801 of the family's 1831-position model. The record is from RNAcentral.
AGCUCCAAUAGCGUAUAUUAAAGUUGUUGCAGUUAAAAAGCUCGUAGUUGGAUUUCUGCAAGUUUGGGAUGUCCUUAGGCACGGUCUUGAACUAGCAUUUUUGGGUGGAAUCUGUGCGGCAUUAGGUUGUCGUGCAGUGGAUGCUCAUCAUUUACUGUGAAAAAAUUAGAGUGUUCAAAGCAGGCAUACGCCAUUGAAUA